GAUAAACGCUGGCGGCGCACAUAAGACAUGCAAGUCGAACGAACUUAACUCAUUCUUUUAGUUUGAGAGCGGUUAGUGGCGGACUGGUGAGUAACACGUAAGCAACCUGCCUAUUAGAGGGGAAUAACAGUGAGAAAUCAUUGCUAAUACCGCAUAUGCUAACAGUAUCGCAUGAUACAGUUAGGAAAGGAGCAAUCCGCUAAUAGAUGGGCUUGCGUCUGAUUAGAUAGUUGGUGGGUAACGGCUACCAAGUCGACGAUCAGUAGCCGGACUGAGAGGUUGAACGGCCACAUUGGGACUGAGAUACGGCCCAGACUCCUACGGGAGGCAGCAGUCGGGAAUAUUGCGCAAUGGAGGAAACUCUGACGCAGUGACGCCGCGUAUAGGAAGAAGGUUUUCGGAUUGUAAAACUAUUAGUCAUCAGGGAAGAGAAAGGACAGUACCUGAGNGGAAGCUCCGGGCUAAACUACGUG
Molecule: ribosomal RNA, 473 nt
Filed under: uncultured bacterium
Lineage: Bacteria
Description: bacterial SSU rRNA
Rfam family: Bacterial small subunit ribosomal RNA
Source: RNAcentral